GUUCUCCCUGAGACUUUAAGUCUCCUGAAGGAACGUUGAAGACGACGACGUUGAUAGGCCGGGUGUGUAAGCGCAGCGAUGCGUUGAGCUAACCGGUACUAAUGAACCGUGAGGCUUAACCUU
This 123-nucleotide ribosomal RNA is filed under the name Klebsiella pneumoniae. RNAcentral's name for it is "partial 23S ribosomal RNA". It matches the Rfam family "Bacterial large subunit ribosomal RNA", at positions 2808 to 2925 of the family's 2925-position model. RNAcentral also lists the same sequence under 1 other name. The record is from RNAcentral. Lineage: Bacteria; Pseudomonadati; Pseudomonadota; Gammaproteobacteria; Enterobacterales; Enterobacteriaceae.